Molecule: unclassified non-coding RNA, 141 nt
Filed under: uncultured Ascomycota
Lineage: Eukaryota; Fungi; Ascomycota
Description: sequence contains ITS2
Source: RNAcentral
CACCACUCAAGCCUGGCUUGGUAUUGGGCGCCGGGACUCUCCCGCGCCUUAAUUUCACCGGCUGGACCGUCUCUAUCUCAGCGUUGUGGUUUCAAAUUCGCUGGCGAGAAGGACGGCUCACGCCGUUAAAACUUCUAUCAA